This 60-nucleotide transfer RNA is filed under the name Menacanthus cornutus. RNAcentral's name for it is "tRNA-His". Lineage: Eukaryota; Metazoa; Arthropoda; Insecta; Psocodea; Menoponidae. The record is from RNAcentral.
GGAACUGUAGUUUAUUUAAAAUUUUGAUUUGUGGAAUCAAAGAAGUUGAAUCCCGUUCUA